Molecule: long non-coding RNA, 324 nt
Filed under: Cricetulus griseus (Chinese hamster)
Lineage: Eukaryota; Metazoa; Chordata; Mammalia; Rodentia; Cricetidae
Description: lncRNA (ENSCGRG00000026310.1)
Source: RNAcentral
UGGUAAACAAUGAUUUCUUGUUAUUUUCCCAGGAAAACCACAUGAUAUCUCAUCUGGAUGGACUGAUCCUUCUGAAGCAGGAAGUGGCCUCCUGGCUCCAUCCAUGCCUAGAUUGGAACAAAUGACCAGGGAAGGAAGGAAGGAAAGAGGACCUCCACCCCGCUACCAUCCCUGACAUCAUUCUCUCUGGGAAUCUCCUGACUCAGGACCCUGCGAGCCUCCCCACAGCUCCACCAUCCCUAGAGCUGCCCUCAUUCAGCUAGAGAACAAAGCCAGAGGUGAGUCAGGGCCCAGGAACCCAGCCAAGCUGGGAGGCCUCAUAGG